This 517-nucleotide ribosomal RNA is filed under the name uncultured bacterium. Its description in RNAcentral is "bacterial SSU rRNA". It matches the Rfam family "Bacterial small subunit ribosomal RNA", at positions 62 to 552 of the family's 1533-position model. The record is from RNAcentral.
UCGAACGAGAAAUUCCCCGCUUGCGGGGAAGAGUAAAGUGGCGCACGGGUGAGUAACGCGUGGGUAAUCUGCCCUUGAAUUUGGAAUAACUUCGCGAAAGCGUUGCUAAUACCGAAUAUUGUCCCUUUUGCCGUGGCAUUGGGGAUGAAAGGUGACCUCUUCAUGAAAGUUGCCGUUCAAGGAGGAGCCCGCGUACCAUUAGCUUGUUGGUAGGGUAAUGGCCUACCAAGGCGACGAUGGUUAGCUGGUCUGAGAGGAUGAUCAGCCACACUGGAACUGAAACACGGUCCAGACUCCUCCGGGAGGCAGCGGUGAGGAAUUUUGCGCAAUGGGGGAAACCCUGACGCAGCAACGCCGCGUGAGUGAUGAAGACCUUCGGGUCGUAAAGCUCUGUCAAGUGGGAAGAAAUACUUACAGUUAAUACCUGUAAGGACUGAUGGUACCACUGGAGGAAGCACCGGCUAACUCCGUGCCAGCAGCCGCGGUAAUACGGAGGGUGCAAGCGUUGUUUGKUAUC